GAUGAACGCUAGCUACAGGCUUAACACAUGCAAGUCGGGGGGCGAGCAUUUCAGUUUGCUUGCAAACUGGAGAUGGCGACCGGCGCACGGGUGAGUAACACGUAUCCAACCUGCCGAUAACUCGGGGAUAGCCUUUCGAAAGAAAGAUUAAUACCCGAUAGUAUAAUUAGACCGCAUGGUCUUAUUAUUAAAGAAUUUCGGUUAUCGACGGGGAUGCGUUCCAUUAGGCAGUUGGUGAGGUAACGGCCCACCUAGUCUUCGAUGGAUAGGGGUUCUGAGAGGAAGGUCCCCCCACAUUGGAACUGAGACACGGUCCAAACUCCUACGGGAGGCAGCAGUGAGGAAUAUUGGUCAAUGGGCGAGAGCCUGAACCAGCCAAAGUAGCGUGAAGGAUGAACU
This 399-nucleotide ribosomal RNA is filed under the name uncultured bacterium. RNAcentral describes it as "bacterial SSU rRNA". It matches the Rfam family "Bacterial small subunit ribosomal RNA", at positions 28 to 414 of the family's 1533-position model. The record is from RNAcentral.